This 253-nucleotide ribosomal RNA is filed under the name uncultured bacterium. RNAcentral's name for it is "partial 16S ribosomal RNA". It matches the Rfam family "Bacterial small subunit ribosomal RNA", at positions 524 to 776 of the family's 1533-position model. The record is from RNAcentral.
UACGUAGGGUGCAAGCGUUGUCCGGAAUUAUUGGGCGUAAAGAGCUCGUAGGCGGUUUGUUGCGUCGGCUGUGAAAUCCCGAGGCUCAACCUCGGGUCUGCAGUCGAUACGAGCAAACUAGAGUGUUGCAGGGGAGACUGGAAUUCCUGGUGUAGCGGUGAAAUGCGCAGAUAUCAGGAGGAACACCGGUGGCGAAGGCGGGUCUCUGGGCAACAACUGACGCUGAGAAGCGAAAGCGUGGGGAGCAAACAGG